GGAAGCUUAGCUCAGUUGGUUCAGAGCACUUGCCUUACAAGCAAGGGGUCACUGGUUCGAGCCCAGUAGUUUCCA
Molecule: transfer RNA, 75 nt
Filed under: Bacteroidales bacterium
Lineage: Bacteria; Pseudomonadati; Bacteroidota; Bacteroidia; Bacteroidales
Also listed under: 1 other name
Description: tRNA-Val
Rfam family: tRNA
About the family: Transfer RNA (tRNA) molecules are approximately 80 nucleotides in length. Their secondary structure includes four short double-helical elements and three loops (D, anti-codon, and T loops).
Source: RNAcentral